UCUGCCAGUUCCCGAGCACUGCAUGAGGGUGUGGGCACCUCAAAGGUUUCAUGGAAGCUAGCGUAGUCCACCUCAUAGAAACCGUCCUCCAGGGUGAGCACGGAUGUGAAUCGGUGGCCCCACAACACUUCGUCUACCAGAGACACCUCCACCCGCCCCCAAGCAAUGGGCAACUAGCUGAGCUGAUUACGGUCCAGGAUUGAAAGCUUGCCACUGCACCAGAAGCCCAGUCCUCGGUGUGAUGGUGACAAUUGUCUGGAUCCUUACAAAAGUGUAUUACAUUCAUAGCUGGGGCCGAACCCAGGGCCUUGCGCUUGCCUAUAGGCAAGCGCUCUACCACUGAGCUAAAUCCCCAACCCCCCUGGGUUAUCUCUUACGCAAACUGAAAUCUGUCUCCCGGGACCUGUGCCCCUGAGUGUCUGUAAAUACAGCCCGGGGUUCCCUUGCAUCUUCUCUUCCUCAGACUGAACACUCAUGACCUCAUGACCGUCUCUUACUUCCUCUGACUCCCCCAAAGCUUUCUGUCCUCAUUGGAAAUCACGGAGGCCCAGGUCAGGGUCUGAAGUGCCAUACAUUUCUCCAACUGUGGCCUCAUCUGUGCGUAAGAGAAGGCUUACUAUCUCUUGCUUCUUACCAAGAUGCUUUAGUGAAGCGGCCCGUGAUGACAUUACAUAAACGCCUCUGGAAGCUGCAUCACGUUGCUACAGCAAGCCUGUGGCCAACUAAAACCCCCAGUUCUUUCUCCACCGGAGCCUUUCCAUACUGAGCUUACAUAAGUGAUUUUUUUUAAAGCCUAAAUGUAGAAUUUUAUAUUUAUUCCCCUUAAAUGUCAUCAUGUUGGGUUUUGGCUCAUUAUUCUUGCUUUUCAAAAGUAGUUUGAAUCCCAAAAUACUACCGUCCUUUCCAGCUUUAUCUCUAGAAACAUCAAACAAGCUCCCGCCCCCUUGUCCUUUAAACUGCCCUUCCCAGUUCUUGCCCCGAGCCUGUGUCCUGUCUUC
Rattus norvegicus (Norway rat) is the source of this 998-nucleotide non-coding RNA. The record is from RefSeq and is a predicted model, not a curated record. NCBI's taxonomy places the organism in Eukaryota, Metazoa, Chordata, Mammalia, Rodentia, Muridae.